UACGUAGGGGGCAAGCGUUGUCCGGAAUCAUUGGGCGUAAAGCGCGUGUAGGCGGCUCGAUAAGUCCGUUCUGAAAGUCCAGGGCUCAACCCUGGGAUGCCGGUGGAUACUGUCGGGCUCGAGUCCGGAAGAGGAGUGUGGAAUUCCUGGUGUAGCGGUGAAAUGCGCAGAUAUCAGGAGGAACACCAAUGGCGAAGGCAGCACUCUGGGACGUGACUGACGCUGAGACGCGAAAGCGUGGGGAGCGAACAGG
Molecule: ribosomal RNA, 253 nt
Filed under: uncultured bacterium
Lineage: Bacteria
Description: partial 16S ribosomal RNA
Rfam family: Bacterial small subunit ribosomal RNA
Source: RNAcentral